AUUGGCACUGGGUUAGAGAAGGCCU
RNAcentral lists this non-coding RNA (25 nucleotides) under Cricetulus griseus (Chinese hamster). Lineage: Eukaryota; Metazoa; Chordata; Mammalia; Rodentia; Cricetidae. The record is from RNAcentral.